Molecule: ribosomal RNA, 531 nt
Filed under: uncultured bacterium
Lineage: Bacteria
Description: bacterial SSU rRNA
Rfam family: Bacterial small subunit ribosomal RNA
Source: RNAcentral
GCGACGCCGUGUAGAGGAUGAAGCCCUUCGGGGUNNNACUCUUGUUAGGGAGGACGAAGUCAAGUAUUUUUAAUAAAAAUACUUGGUGACGGUACUCCCGGAGGAAGCCCUGGCUAACCUCGUGCCAGCAGCCGCGGUAAUACGGGGAGGGCAAGCGUUGCCCGGAUUUACUGGGCUUAAAGGGGGCGCAGGCGGUUAGAUAUGUCAGGUGUGAAAUCCAUUCGCUUAACGGAUGGGCUGCGCCUGAAACUAUCUGACUCGAGGGCGAGAGAGGAGAGCGGAAUUCACGGUGUAGCGGUGAAAUGCGUGGAUAUCGUGGAGAACGCCAACAGGGAAGCCGGCUCUCUGGUUCGCUUCUGACGCUCAGGCCCGAAAGCUGGGGGAGCGAAGGGGAUUAGAUACCCCCGUAGUCUCAGCUGUAAACGAUGGGUGCUAGGUGUGGGAGGGGCAACCUUUCUGUGCCUCAGGUAAACCAUUAAGCACCCCGCCUGGGGAGUACACUCGCAAGGGUGAAACUCAAAGGAAUUGACG